UCUUGCACAAUGGGCGAAAGCCUGAUGCAGCGACGCCGCGUGUGUGAUGAAGGUCUUCGGAUCGUAAAGCACUUUCGACCGGGAAGAAAAAGCCUGUGGCUAACAUCCACGGGCCUUGACGGUACCGGUAGAAGAAGCAACGGCUAACUCUGUGCCAGCAGCCGCGGUAAUACAGAGGUUGCGAGCGUUGUUCGGAAUUAUUGGGCGUAAAGCGCGUGUAGGCGGGAUGGCAAGUCGGGUGUGAAAGCCCUCGGCUCAACCGAGGAAGUGCGCCCGAAACUACUGUUCUUGAGUGCCGGAGAGGGUGGCGGAAUUCCCGGUGUAGAGGUGAAAUUCGUAGAUAUCGGGAGGAACACCAGUGGCGAAGGCGGCCACCUGGACGGACACUGACGCUGAGACGCGAAAGCGUGGGGAGCAAACAGG
RNAcentral lists this ribosomal RNA (423 nucleotides) under uncultured bacterium. RNAcentral's name for it is "bacterial SSU rRNA". It matches the Rfam family "Bacterial small subunit ribosomal RNA", at positions 362 to 776 of the family's 1533-position model. The record is from RNAcentral.